UGAAAUUUGACCUUGCUCAAAAAUGCAAAAUUGACUGGUCUGAUGGACACAGGAUGGCCGAGCAGUGAUAGUUGUACAUUUCCAUCACUCGUUGUGUUGAUUUCAUCAUGUCCAUUAGGUGAUGUUUUUUCACUAUAGAAUCAUAUUGCAAAUGCACGUGCAUUGUUGUGCAACUGGUAACCCAAAAAUAAAAAUAUGGUUGUAAAUGCAUUUACCGGGACGCCUAUUGUCCAUGCCCGCUAUGGGAGUACCCUACUACGGCCCUCUAUCUAUUGAGUCCGUCCUGAGUGCUUUAUGGACUGUUUAAAAUAUUCUGAUGGAUACGCAUGUUGUGCAACUGGUGAUUGAAAAUAGGCACCUGGUAACCCCCCAAAAAAUAUGCUUGUAAAUGCAUUUACCGGUCAUUCUGAUAUUAAUGCUCGCUAUGGGAACACAGGAUGGCCGGGCAGUGAUAGUUGUACAUUUCCAUCACUCGUUGUGUUGAUUUCAUCAUGUCCAUUAGGUGAUGUUUUUUCACUAUAGAAUCAUAUUGUAAGUGCACGUGCAUUUGCAAUAUGUUUCAAUGUGCAUUUACCAUAUGAAAUUUGACAUGCUCAAAAAUGCAAAAUUGACUGGUCUGAUGAACACAGGAUGGCCGAGCAGUGAUAGUUGUACAUUUCCAUCACUCGUUGUGUUGAUUUCAUCAUGAACAUUAGGUGAUGUUUUUUCACUAUAGAAUCAUAUUGUAAGUGCACGUGCAUUUGCAAUAUGUUUCAAUGUGCAUUUACCAUAUGAAAUUUGACAUGCUCAAAAAUGCAAAAUUGACUGGUCUGAUGAACACAGGAUGGCCGAGCAGUGAGAGUUGUACCUUUCCAUCACUCGUUGUGUUGAUUUCAUCAUGUCCAUUUGUUUAUGUUUUCUCACUUUUGCAAAGUCACUGUGCAUUUGCAAUAUGGUUCAAUGGGCAGGUACCAUCACGAAUUUGUCAUGCUAUAAAAAUCCUGCAGGAAUGUGAAAUUGACUGGCCUGAU
Long non-coding RNA from Oncorhynchus keta (chum salmon), 1010 nucleotides. RefSeq lists it as uncharacterized. The record is from RefSeq and is a predicted model, not a curated record. The transcript is spliced from 3 exons. Lineage: Eukaryota; Metazoa; Chordata; Actinopteri; Salmoniformes; Salmonidae.